AAUUCGAUGCAACGCGAAAACCUUACCCACCUUUGACAUGUACGGAACCCUUUAGAGAUAGAGGGGUGCCCGAAAGAGAGCCGUAACACAGGUGCUGCAUGGCUGUCGUCAGCUCGUGUCGUGAGAUGUUGGGUUAAGUCCCGCAACGAGCGCAACCCUUGUCAUUAGUUGCUACAUUCAGUUGGGCACUCUAAUGAGACUGCCGGUGACAAGCCGGAGGAAGGUGGGGAUGACGUCAAGUCCUCAUGGCCCUUAUAGGUGGGGCUACACACGUCAUACAAUGGCUGGUACAAAGGGUUGCCAACCCGCGAGGGGGAGCCAAUCCCAUAAAGCCAGUCGUAGUCCGGAUCGUAGUCUGCAACUCGACUACGUGAAGUCGGAAUCGCUAGUAAUCGUGGAUCAGAAUGUCACGGUGAAUACGUUCCCGGGUCUU
This 433-nucleotide ribosomal RNA is filed under the name uncultured Rhodoferax sp. Its description in RNAcentral is "bacterial SSU rRNA". It matches the Rfam family "Bacterial small subunit ribosomal RNA", at positions 948 to 1382 of the family's 1533-position model. The record is from RNAcentral. Lineage: Bacteria; Pseudomonadati; Pseudomonadota; Betaproteobacteria; Burkholderiales; Comamonadaceae.